GACGAACGCUGGCGGCGCGCCUAAUACAUGCAAGUCGAACGAGUACGGACUUCGGUCCAUAUGUACGAGUGGCGAACGGGUGAGUAACACGUGAGAAACCUGCCUCGGAGACCGGGACAACCGUGGGAAACUACGGCUAAUACCGGAUGUCCUCUAACGAUCGCAUGAUCGAUUGAGGAAAUGAUCCGUCGCUCCGGGAGGGUCUCGCGGCCUAUCAGCUUGUUGGUGAGGUAACGGCUCACCAAGGCAUCGACGGGUAGCUGGUCUGAGAGGACGAUCAGCCACACUGGGACUGAGACACGGCCCAG
RNAcentral lists this ribosomal RNA (308 nucleotides) under uncultured bacterium. RNAcentral describes it as "bacterial SSU rRNA". It matches the Rfam family "Bacterial small subunit ribosomal RNA", at positions 28 to 334 of the family's 1533-position model. The record is from RNAcentral.